GAUGAACGCUGGCGGCGUGCCUAAUACAUGCAAGUAGAACGCUGAAGGAAGGAGCUUGCUCUUUCCGGAUGAGUUGCGAACGGGUGAGUAACGCGUAGGUAACCUGCCUGGUAGCGGGGGAUAACUAUUGGAAACGAUAGCUAAUACCGCAUAACAGUAGAUGUUGCAUGAUACCUACUUAAAAGGUGCAAUUGCACCACUACCAGAUGGACCUGCGUUGUAUUAGCUAGUUGGUGAGGUAACGGCUCACCAAGGCGACGAUACAUAGCCGACCUGAGAGGGUGAUCGGCCACACUGGGACUGAGACACGGCCCAGACUCCUACGGGAGGCAGCAGUAGGGAAUCUUCGGCAAUGGACGGAAGUCUGACCGAGCAACGCCGCGUGAGUGAAGAAGGUUUUCGGAUCGUAAAGCUCUGUUGUAAGAGAAGAACGAGUGUGAGAGUGGAAAGUUCACACUGUGACGGUAGCUUACCAGAAAGGGACGGCUAACUACGUG
This 497-nucleotide ribosomal RNA is filed under the name uncultured bacterium. RNAcentral's name for it is "partial 16S ribosomal RNA". It matches the Rfam family "Bacterial small subunit ribosomal RNA", at positions 28 to 507 of the family's 1533-position model. The record is from RNAcentral.